GCGAGAACGCGUAGUCAACCUACCCUAUGGACGGGGAUAACCUCGGGAAACUGAGAAUAAUACCCGAUAGGACAUUAUGCCUGGAAUGGUUUAUGUUUCAAAUAAUUUAUUGCCAUAGGAUGGGACUGCGGCCUAUCAGUUUGUUGGUGAGGUAAUGGCCCACCAAGACUAUUACAGGUACGGGCUCUGAGAAGAGUAGCCCGGAGAUGGGUACUGAGACACGGACCCAGGCCCUAUGGGGCGCAGCAGGCGAGAAAACUUUGCAAUGUGCGAAAGCACGACAAGGUUAAUCCGAGUGAUUUCUGCUAAAGGAAUCUUUUGUCAGUCCUAGAAACACUGUUGAAUAAGGGGUGGGCAAGUUCUGGUGUCAGCCGCCGCGGUAAAACCAGCACCUCGAGUGGUCAGGAUGAUUAUUGGGCCUAAAGCAUCCGUAGCCUGCUUUAUCAGUUUUCGGUUAAAUCCACACGCUCAACGUAUGGGCUGCCGGGAAUACUGUAAAGCUAGGGAGUGGGAGAGGUAGACGGUACUCGGGAGGAAGGGGUAAAAUCCUUUGAUCUCUCGAUGACCACCUGUGGCGAAGGCGGUCUACCAGAACACGUCCGACGGUGAGGGAUGAAAGCUGGGGGAGCAAACCGGAUUAGAUACCCGGGUAGUCCCAGCUGU
This 663-nucleotide ribosomal RNA is filed under the name uncultured archaeon. RNAcentral describes it as "bacterial SSU rRNA". It matches the Rfam family "Archaeal small subunit ribosomal RNA", at positions 90 to 754 of the family's 1478-position model. The record is from RNAcentral.